ACGCUAGCUACAGGCUUAACACAUGCAAGUCGAGGGGCAGCAUUUCAGUUUGCUUGCAAACUGGAGAUGGUGACCGGCGCACGGGUGAGUAACACGUAUCCAACCUGCCGAUAACUCGGGGAUAGCCUUUCGAAAGAAAGAUUAAUACCCGAUGGUAUAAUCAGACCGCAUGGUCUUAUUAUUAAAGAAUUUCGGUUAUCGAUGGGGAUGCGUUCCAUUAGGCAGUUGGUGAGGUAACGGCUCACCAAACCUUCGAUGGAUAGGGGUUCUGAGAGGAAGGUCCCCCACAUUGGAACUGAGACACGGUCCAAACUCCUACGGGAGGCAGCAGUGAGGAAUAUUGGUCAAUGGGCGCAGGCCUGAACCAGCCAAGUAGCGUGAAGGAUGACUGCCCUAUGGGUUGUAAACUUCUUUUAUAUGGGAAUAAAGUUUUCCACGUGUGGAAUUUUGUAUGUACCAUAUGAAUAAGGAUCGGCUAACUCCGUGCCAGCAGCCGCGGUAAUACUGAGGAUCCGAGCGUUAUCCGGAUUUAUUGGGUUUAAAGGGAGCGUA
RNAcentral lists this ribosomal RNA (552 nucleotides) under uncultured organism. Its description in RNAcentral is "SSU rRNA". It matches the Rfam family "Bacterial small subunit ribosomal RNA", at positions 33 to 573 of the family's 1533-position model. The record is from RNAcentral.